RNAcentral lists this ribosomal RNA (465 nucleotides) under uncultured bacterium. Its description in RNAcentral is "partial 16S ribosomal RNA". It matches the Rfam family "Bacterial small subunit ribosomal RNA", at positions 28 to 507 of the family's 1533-position model. The record is from RNAcentral.
GACGAACGCUGGCGGCGUGCUUAACACAUGCAAGUCGAACGGAAAGGCCCCUUUGGGGGUACUCGAGUGGCGAACGGGGGAGUAACACGUGAGUAACCUGCCCUUGACUUCGGGAUAACUUCAGGAAACUGGGGCUAAUACCGGAUAGGAAUCCUUGCUGCAUGGUGGGGGUUGGAAAGCUUCGGCGGUUUUGGAUGGACUUGCGGCUUAUCAGCUUGUUGGUGGGGUAGUGGCUUACCAAGGCUUUGACGGGUAGCCGGCCUGAGAGGGCGACCGGCCACAUUGGGACUGAGAUACGGCCCAGACUCCUACGGGAGGCAGCAGUGGGGAAUAUUGCACAAUGGGCGGAAGCCUGAUGCAGCAACGCCGCGUGCGGGAUGACGGCCUUCGGGUUGUAAACCGCUUUCAGCAGGGGCGAAGCUUGUGGUGACGGUACCUGCAGAAGAAGCACCGGCUAACUACGUG